GACGAACGCUGGCGGCGUGCUUAACACAUGCAAGUCGAACGGAAAGGCCCUGCUUUUGUGGGGUGCUCGAGUGGCGAACGGGUGAGUAACACGUGAGUAACCUGCCCUUGACUUUGGUAUAACUUCAGGAAACUGGGGCUAAUACCGGAUAGGAGCUCCUGCUGCAUGGUGUGGGUUGGAAAGUUUCGGCGGUUGGGGAUGGACUCGCGGGUUAUCAGCUUGUUGGUGGGGUAGUGGCUUACCAAGGCUUUGACGGGUAGCCGGCCUGAGAGGGUGACCGGCCACAUUGGGACUGAGAUACGGCCCAGACUCAUACGGGAGGCAGCAGUGGGGAAUAUUGCACAAUGGGCGGAAGCCUGAUGCAGCAACGCCGCGUGCGGGAUGACGGCCUUCGGGUUGUAAACCGCUUUCGCCUGUGACGAAGCGUGAGUGACGGUAAUGGGUAAAGAAGCACCGGCUAACUACGUG
Molecule: ribosomal RNA, 468 nt
Filed under: uncultured bacterium
Lineage: Bacteria
Description: partial 16S ribosomal RNA
Rfam family: Bacterial small subunit ribosomal RNA
Source: RNAcentral